This is a ribosomal RNA of 350 nucleotides. It matches the Rfam family "Microsporidia small subunit ribosomal RNA", at positions 751 to 1205 of the family's 1311-position model.
UAACAAAAAAUUUUUGGAAUAGUACUAUUAAUGAAAUUUAACGGAUUUGGCGGCAAGAUAGCCACUUAGAGGAACCUGCCCUGUAAACGAUGAACCACGAUUAACCUUACUUUUAUUAGAAUCCAGUUUGUAUACCGCUGUUGUCAGUUAGUUUCUUUAGAAAACUUUCGUACAUGAAAAGUUCAAGGACUUCAAGUAAAGGUGCAGCUUAUGUAAAAGAUAGAGGUGGGUUACAAUUAAAAGAAUAAUAUGGAUAAAGUAGAGAAGAAACUUUUGAAGGUGGAUUUAAUAGUAAAGUUUAAAAAGACUUGAUUAGAGCUCUAUCUUGUGUACACACCGCCCGUCGUCNG